Molecule: long non-coding RNA, 1188 nt
Organism: Megalopta genalis
Lineage: Eukaryota; Metazoa; Arthropoda; Insecta; Hymenoptera; Halictidae
Source: RefSeq, a predicted model, not a curated record
AAAAAAUUAAUGGUUCUCAUUAGAGAACUAUAGAAAGGUUACAGAAUUUUUCAGCAGAAUCUGAUGUAUAAUUCGUCUAUAUUAAAAUAUGUAUUGAACUGCGUGUAUAUUAUUGCUGAUAAUAAAUACAAUUUGACGUUAAACUAUAGUAAAAAUUGUAUACAAAAGGAAUAGAAAAAGAAAGCAGAAUGUAAUAAUGUAAAUAAAAAAGGACGAAUUAAUGAAGUCGCGGCAAUGUAAAAAACAUAUCCAAUCCAAUUACUCCAAUCCAAUUUUUUGAGCAAAUAAUUUAUAAUAUUUUUCAACUUGUUUGUUAUGGGUUAGUCCAACCGAGUAGACCUGAAAAAUUGCGAAUGAUUGUUAUACCACUGUACGGUGGGUGUUAAAAUGUUGAAUAUUACUACCUUGAGGUUUGUACUUCUUGACUGUAAACGAGAAGAUAUCUCACUCGUACUAAUUCACUAUUCGUUAACGAGUAAUAUUUGUUCGAGGUUGUGCCACCCAUGGAAUCUUUAGAUACAGUCUGAACAGUACCCUCUGCAACCGGUUCUGGAGAUAUACAUGUAUUAUUAUUCCGCAUAUAUGUAUAUAAUCUGCGAUGCUCUACAUCGCACAUAUGUCAUUAUAAAACAUAAUUACCCGUGUCUCUACUUUUGACAUCGACGUGAUUGACAAGUUCGCACAAAGCGAUACAAUUCAUCUCGCUUCCCAGAACGCUACCGCCCCAUCCGUAUCCUAUAGGACUAUGCGACCAUAAUGUAUAAUAGAAUGGAAAUUCUCUAAACGGCUGCCGUGAUAAGCAUAGAAGGUUCUACAACCUUGCGCAAUCGUCUUCCACUUUUCCUCCGAUGCUGACUGCUUCGCGUUCGCAACAUGGAAUAUUAAAUUCGGCGCAGCCACUGACAGUUCUGACGGUACCUUCCUCAAUACGGACUCGUACUGCGCUCCAAAGAUUUGCCAAUAACAAACAAAAGCGUUGAUCUAUUAAAGGACCCAAGGAGUUGCGUAGAAAAUGUUCCAAGAAACAGGACGUACUUACAGAGUCUUUGCUAAUAGUUUUUAUAGUAGGAUCCCUUAAACGAAUCAAAACCCAAUACAACAGUUCUAUAGUUGUGCUGUAUCGCUCGUAUACAUCUGGAUCUUGCAACGCUUUAAGUAUCACAUCGAAUAAAGGCAAGUUGCAAUGAA